GAUGAAGAACGUAGCGAAAUGCGAUAAGUAAUGUGAAUUGCAGAAUUCAGUGAAUCAUCGAAUCUUUGAACGCACAUUGCGCCCGCCAGUAUUCUGGCGGGCAUGCCUGUUCGAGCGUCAUUUCAACCAUCAAGCCCCCCGGCUUGUGUUGGGGACCUGCGGCUGCCGCAGGCCCUGAAAAGCAGUGGCGGGCUCGCUGUCACACCGAGCGUAGUAGCAUACAUCUCGCUCUGGGCGUGCUGCGGGUUCCGGCCGUUAAACCACCUUCAUAACCCAAGGUUGACCUCGGAUCAGGUAGGAAGACCCGCUGAACUUAAGCAUAUCAAUAAGCGGAGGA
RNAcentral lists this unclassified non-coding RNA (337 nucleotides) under soil metagenome. Its description in RNAcentral is "partial contains 5.8S ribosomal RNA, internal transcribed spacer 2, and large subunit ribosomal RNA". The stretch from base 1 to 120 matches the Rfam family "5.8S ribosomal RNA", at positions 35 to 154 of the family's 154-position model. The record is from RNAcentral.